Molecule: ribosomal RNA, 432 nt
Filed under: uncultured bacterium
Lineage: Bacteria
Description: partial 16S ribosomal RNA
Rfam family: Bacterial small subunit ribosomal RNA
Source: RNAcentral
AACGAACGCUGGCGGCAUGCCUAACACAUGCAAGUCGAACGAGACCUUCGGGUCUAGUGGCGCACGGGUGCGUAACGCGUGGGAACCUGCCCUUAGGUUCGGAAUAACUCAGAGAAAUUUGAGCUAAUACCGGAUAAUGUCUUCGGACCAAAGAUUUAUCGCCUUUGGAUGGGCCCGCGUAGGAUUAGCUUGUUGGUGGGGUAAUGGCCUACCAAGGCGACGAUCCUUAGCUGGUCUGAGAGGAUGAUCAGCCACACUGGGACUGAGACACGGCCCAGACUCCUACGGGAGGCAGCAGUGGGGAAUAUUGGACAAUGGGCGAAAGCCUGAUCCAGCAAUGCCGCGGGAGUGAUGAAGGCCUUAGGGUUGUAAAGCUCUUUUACCAGGGAUGAUAAGGACAGUACCUGGAGAAUAAACUCCGGCUAACUCCGU